CGUCGGAAGAAGGUUUGGUGGAAGGGAAUAGAGAGAAAGAAAAUUUGUUGAAAGGUGUAAUGUUAUUUGAGAAAGGAAAGUUGGCAUAGAAGGAAGAGAGAAAUGUAUAGGACUUGAUAAAUUUAAUAAGUGGUAAAUGGGUGGUGAGUAGAAAGAAGGGCAGAGAAUAAUAGAGUGUAUCUAAAAUAUUUCUCUGAUGAAAAGGUAGAAGACAAAAGAGCGGUGAUUGUGGAAAAAAUGGAUUAAACAUAAAUAUAGGUUUAAGCAAGCAACACGUAAAGAGCCCGGUUAGCUCCGCGGUAAGGUGUCGGACUCGUAACUCGGCUCGAUUCUUCACCCUGGGUUUUCUUCCCCGUGGUGGUGUGUCCAAACGGGCUCGAGGUAGUGAAAGCUACCCGAUUUUGCUGCCGCAAGCAAUUUUUAUCGUUCGUUUGGUAGAUGUGGGAAGGAAGAGAAGAAGAGUACAGUGCCUAGUCCGGGUAGGCAUGGCACGUAGAUGGGUAAGGACACGAGCAUUUAUCGCACUACAGAUUCAAAUAUAGAGGGAAUUCUACCCUAAAUAUGCUAUUCUAAAUAUAGAGGCAUAUUACAGUUACAAAUUACAAACGUUAUUAAAUAAAACGAAGUAAGUAAUUAAACGAAUAAUUGAC
This 650-nucleotide unclassified non-coding RNA is filed under the name Bombus terrestris (buff-tailed bumblebee). RNAcentral describes it as "misc RNA ENSBTSG00005019666.1". The record is from RNAcentral. Lineage: Eukaryota; Metazoa; Arthropoda; Insecta; Hymenoptera; Apidae.